GACGAACGCUGGCGGCGUGCUUAACACAUGCAAGUCGAACGGAAAGGCCCUGCUUUUGUGGGGUGCUCGAGUGGCGAACGGGUGAGUAACACGUGAGUAUCCUGCCCUUGACUUUGGGAUAACUUCAGGAAACUGGGGCUAAUACCGGAUAGGAGCUCCUGCUGCAUGGUGGGGGUUGGAAAGUUUCGGCGGUUGGGGAUGGACUCGCGGCUUAUCAGCUGGUUGGUGGGGUAGUGGCUUACCAAGGCUUUGACGGGUAGCCGGCCUGAGAGGGUGACCGGCCACAUUGGGACUGAGAGACGGCCCAGACUCCUACGGGAGGCAGCAGUGGGGAAUAUUGCACAAUGGGGGGAAGCCUGAUGCAGCAACGCCGCGUGCGGGAUGACGGCCUUCGGGUUGUAAACCGCUUUCGCCUGUGACGAAGCGUGAGUGACGGUAAUGGGUAAAGAAGCACCGGCUAACUACGUG
RNAcentral lists this ribosomal RNA (468 nucleotides) under uncultured bacterium. Its description in RNAcentral is "partial 16S ribosomal RNA". It matches the Rfam family "Bacterial small subunit ribosomal RNA", at positions 28 to 507 of the family's 1533-position model. The record is from RNAcentral.